This 800-nucleotide ribosomal RNA is filed under the name uncultured bacterium. Its description in RNAcentral is "bacterial SSU rRNA". It matches the Rfam family "Bacterial small subunit ribosomal RNA", at positions 82 to 916 of the family's 1533-position model. The record is from RNAcentral.
GGUUUAGUGGAAAGCGGCGGACGGGUGAGUAACGCGUGGGAAUUUACCAAGGAGUGGGGAACAACUGCUGGAAACGGCAGCUAAUACCGCAUACGCCCUAAGGGGGAAAGGCUUCGGCCGCUCCAUGAGAAGCCCGCGUACGAUUAGUUUGUUGGUGGGGUAAUGGCCUACCAAGACUUCGAUCGUUAGCUGGUCUGAGAGGACGAUCAGCCACACUGGGACUGAGACACGGCCCAGACUCCUACGGGAGGCAGCAGUGGGGAAUAUUGGACAAUGGGCGAAAGCCUGAUCCAGCGAUGCCGCGUGAGUGAAGAAGGCCUUAGGGUUGUAAAGCUCUUUCGGUGGGGAAGAUAAUGACGGUACCCACAAAAGAAGCCCCGGCUAACUCCGUGCCAGCAGCCGCGGUAAUACGGAGGGGGCUAGCGUUACUCGGAAUUACUGGGCGUAAAGCGAGCGUAGGCGGUUAAUUAAGUUGGGGGUGAAAGCCCGGGGCUCAACCCCGGAAAUGCCCUCAAAACUAAUUGACUAGAGGACGGGAGAGGGGAGUGGAAUUCCAAGUGUAGAGGUGAAAUUCGUAGAUAUUGGGAAGAACACCAGUGGCGAAGGCGACUCUCUGGACCGUUUCUGACGCUAAGGCUCGAAAGCGUGGGUAGCAAACAGGAUUAGAUACCCUGGUAGUCCACGCCGUAAACGAUGAGUGCUAGACGUUGGGAGGAACGCCUCUCAGUGUCGUCGCUAACGCAUUAAGCACUCCGCCUGGGGAGUACGAUCGCAAGAUUAAAACUCAAAUGAAUUGACGG